This 2758-nucleotide long non-coding RNA is filed under the name Bombyx mandarina (wild silkworm). RNAcentral describes it as "uncharacterized LOC114248200". The record is from RNAcentral. Lineage: Eukaryota; Metazoa; Arthropoda; Insecta; Lepidoptera; Bombycidae.
AUUAAAAAAAAUAAAAUAAUCGAUUGUGUAUACGAAUUACUAAUUGGACUUUGGAAUCUUGUUUUAGCCAUGAAUUAAUAAAUGUAUCAUUAACUUUUGUUGAUGAUACAUUACGUCAGCAUUCGUAAAAACGAAUGCUGACGUAAUGUCAAGGGUUUGCUGACGUCAGCCCAAGUAACUCACCAUGAUAAAUGAUAAUAGAAGAAUUUACAAUGUCUAGACCAGGGGUCGCCAAACAACGGACCGCGGUCCCCAUUACACACUUGGUAAUAAAUAUCCAAACUACAAAAAUUUGCUUUGAAACUUCUUACUUUAUUUGGUUGAACAUAAAUUUGUGAAGCAGCAAUUUCGAAGAUGAACUUCAUAAAGAAUAAAUUUCGAUCUCGACUAACGGAUGAAAUGAAAUCUUGCUAGAAAUUUUACUCGAAACCUCAGAUAUAAUAGACCUCAACAAAAAAUGACAUUUAUCUUUUAUUAUUGAUAUGAAAAAAAUAUCUAUGUUAUAUUCGUAAUUACAUUUGUUUAAUAAGUAUUUUUUCUAUAAAAUGUUGUGCGAUUUCUCAAAACGGACCUCAAGCGGAAUUAAUUAGUGAUCCCUGGUCUAGACAGUAAACACAAUAAAUUUAAAUGUUUACUACUAAUACGAUUUUUAAAUACACGUUUUUUAAGUUUACGAUUUACAAGUAUCCAAGUCAAUGGAUGUAUCGCAUUGUUAGUGAACCUUCAGACAUCUUUAUUCUGUUAAAUAUAUUUGAAUUUUGAAUCUAUACUUAUUUGUAGAUAAAUUAUGGUGUUAUUAAUGUCCGUUAAUAAAAACAAACUUCAAACGAGAAUUAAUCAAUUCUAGAUACUUCGGUGUCUAUAAUUUUAAGGGAAUUUAAAAGAGUUUGUAUUUUAAUGGAAGGCGAUUUAAAAUAUCUUUAGAUAAGUAGUGGCUCUGUUGAAAUAGUCUUCCCGAAUGCAUACGGGUAAAUAAAUAUUUCGAAUUCUUUAUCUAAUCAAACACACAUAUCUUGCUGCCUUCGAUUAAGUCUACGAAGCGACACUGCUGGAUGUUUCUUGACUUUAAUGUUCCUAAUUAGCUAGAUAUAUAAAAAUAUAGCGAUCUUAUAACUUUGCUUGAUUACCUUCAAGUGCUCAUUUUUAUAUUAGUGAAGUUUUGUUGAUAUAUUAUGUUUUUCUUUUUAAAUGUUAAUAGAAUUGCCUUUAUAAUUUUCAUUGAAAGAAAAAUCCAAGGUUUCAGGAGCUCAUAGCAAUUCAUGAAACAAUUUGUCCUGUUUCGUUACAAAUUGUUAAUGCAAAGGCAAUACGAGAAGUGAGUACCGUUCAGCACAUGAUUUAAUUAUAAACCACAAAAGGAACGAUAAGAAUAGAUAUCAAAACCAUAAGUAAGAUUUUAGUCACCAAAUAGAGAGCGCAUCGAAUUACCGCAUCAAAGUGAUGAGUGAGAUUCGCCUCUCGAUUGCGUAAUACCACUCGGCGAGUAAAUUCUAUGGAUAGUGUUGUGUGUAAAACUUUUGAUAGUAUCCACGAAUAAUAAUAGUUGUUAGUAGCAAUAGUAUUUUUAUUUUAUAUGAUUAGGUUAAUGUGGGCGUCACACGGUCUGCAGUUUGUGUGUAGUUAGGGUCUAAUUCUAUCCGGGUGCUAAUCGUACACCUCUUAGUAUCUAUUAUCACUAAUUAACUAAUUUAAACUUAAUUGGCAACUCCAAAAUUGGAUUAGCGUUAAGUCGUAAAUAGUAAAUUAUAGUUUAAUAGUUUUGUGACCUAAUAGUUUAUAUCAGUUAUCAGCAGUUAGGAUGUCUCCAAAUGGAAUUUUAAUAAAACCGUAAUGAGGAAAUCUAAUGGUUUCUUGUUGAUUUCGAAUGUUUCAAGAUAAUUAAUCGGCAUGGCUUCGGCAACCUGAUUUAUGAUUCAUUUGAAUAUAGGUCGAUAGUGUAUGGGUCCAAAUCGUAUGGGCUUACGUUUCACAUUGAACGGAAAGCUAGUUGAGAGAUACGUGUUUGGGGUCGUUGUUAGUAUUAAAGCUCAGACUUCUUCAUUCGACGACUGAGCUUUGGAGCUUUUGUCAGGUUUGUGGUACGAGCUUAUUAUAUUAGUAGAUCGGGUCCACUGUUUGUUGUGAAAACCGCUCUCGCCGUCCAAUCAUGGUUGGCUAACUGCUUGUAUAGUAAAUAAAAGAAUAGUAAUAUACAUUGAUCAUCCCUCACCUUACAAAGAUUUUGUUUAAAAAAUGUUAUGUUAAUUUAAAAACUUUAUAGAUAGUUAAUUAAUGGGGGACAGGGCACAUUGUCUACGUUUGAUUCUAAUAAUUUGUAAAUUCUAAUUCAUUUUCUAUGUUUAAUUUUGUUGUACAGUUCAGAUCGGAACCGUAACUAGAAUCUGGACGAUAGUACAGUACAUUGCGGCCUAAGUUUCCCACUAGUUUAAAUUUCUUUACCAAUAAUUAUGUGUGUAUUGUGUGAUGUUCGACCAAAAAUAAUAUCAAUACGAGGGUACUUGACACUCAAAUGACUGACGGAGCUUAUGUUUUUUUGUUUUGUUUCCUAACUAUACCUUUAAUCCAAUACUGAAGUGUCUCUACGCGGCGUUUACUACGGCCAAUCUUUUAAAUAGGCAACCCGAAAUGUCCCCUUAAUGCUUAUUCUGUGCCUAUCGUGCGGCCGCUUAGAGCAGGGCCGGAUUUAGAGGUCUGGAGGCCUUGGGACAACAGAGGAGCGGAGGCCCCUUGCCCCAAAUUAUUCUCCAAAUAAAAUGAA